AAUUCUUUCAUCUCUCUUUUGUCCAAUGCUCGCUUGAGACCAACGAGCGCUGUUGCUUUGAGCAUCAAGCAUCUCAGCGGUCGUUGGACACCGGCUGACGCUGGGUUGCCCCGGUUCCAACCGACGCAGGGUUGUUGCCUUCCUAAUUCUAUCAAAUCGAUGAAAAUUCAUGAAAAAAAAAAGUCAGCCAAACUCUACAUAGAAUCUAUGGAUUUCUAAAUCCACAAAAAAUCAUAGACUUUUUAAAGUCCAAAAAAAUCCAACAGAAUCCCAAACCAAUACACCCCCCUUUUGAUUAGCCCAUCGAACUAAUCGACAUCUAGAAUUUUUUUAAAAAUUAAUUAAUACCCCAUCCGUC
This 358-nucleotide long non-coding RNA is filed under the name Salvia miltiorrhiza (redroot sage). RNAcentral's name for it is "long non-coding RNA (SMIL_LNC011915)". The record is from RNAcentral. Lineage: Eukaryota; Viridiplantae; Streptophyta; Magnoliopsida; Lamiales; Lamiaceae.